GCUGGGUGCGUUGGCGCAUGCCUAUAUUCCCAGCUAUUCUGGAGGCUGAGUCUGGAGGAUCUCUUGAGUCCAGGAGUUCUAGGCUGUAGUGCGCUAUGCCAAUCGGGUGUCCGCACUAAGUUCGGCAUCAAUAUGGUGACCUCCCAGAGUGGGGGACCACCAGGUUGCCUAAGGACGGGUGAACUGCCUCAGGUCAGAAAUGGAGCAGGUCAACUCCCACGCUGAUCAGUAGUGGGAUCACACCUGUGAAUAGCCACUGCACUCCAGCCUGGGAAACAUAGUGAGACCCCAUCUCUU
Molecule: unclassified non-coding RNA, 297 nt
Organism: Callithrix jacchus (white-tufted-ear marmoset)
Lineage: Eukaryota; Metazoa; Chordata; Mammalia; Primates; Cebidae
Rfam family: Metazoan signal recognition particle RNA
About the family: The signal recognition particle (SRP) is a universally conserved ribonucleoprotein. It is involved in the co-translational targeting of proteins to membranes. The eukaryotic SRP consists of a 300-nucleotide 7S RNA and six proteins: SRPs 72, 68, 54, 19, 14, and 9.
Source: Ensembl